This 423-nucleotide ribosomal RNA is filed under the name uncultured bacterium. RNAcentral describes it as "bacterial SSU rRNA". It matches the Rfam family "Bacterial small subunit ribosomal RNA", at positions 355 to 776 of the family's 1533-position model. The record is from RNAcentral.
UGAGGAAUAUUGGUCAAUGGGCGGGAGCCUGAACCAGCCCAGCCGCGUGAGGGAUGAAGGCGCUAUGGGUCGUAAACCUCUUUUGUCUGGGAACAAAAGCGAGUAUGCAUACUUGUCUGNGUGUACCUGAAGAAAAAGCAUCCGCUAACUCCGUGCCAGCAGCCGCGGUAAUACGGAGGAUGCGAGCGUUAUCCGGAUUUAUUGGGUUUAAAGGGUGCGUAGGCGGCGAUGCAAGUCAGCGGUAAAAGCCCGGGGCUCAACCCCGGCGAGCCGUUGAGACUGCAGUGCUAGAGAAGGCGAGAGGUACGCGGAAUGCGCAGUGUAGCGGUGAAAUGCUUAGAUAUUGCGCAGAACUCCGAUUGCGAAGGCAGCGUACUGGCGCCUGACUGACGCUGAGGCACGAAAGCGUGGGGAUCGAACAGG